UACAGAGGGUGCGAGCGUUAAUCGGAAUGACUGGGCGUAAAGGGCGCGUAGGUGGUUGAGCAAGAUUGAUGUGAAAGCCCUGGGCUUAACCUAGGAAUGGCAUCGAUGACUGUUCAGCUAGAGUACUGUAGAGGGUAGUGGAAUUUCCGGUGUAGCGGUGAAAUGCGUAGAGAUCGGAAGGAACAUCAGUGGCGAAGGCGGCUACCUGGACAGAUACUGACACUGAGGCGCGAGAGCGUGGGGAGCAAACAGG
This 253-nucleotide ribosomal RNA is filed under the name uncultured bacterium. Its description in RNAcentral is "partial 16S ribosomal RNA". It matches the Rfam family "Bacterial small subunit ribosomal RNA", at positions 524 to 776 of the family's 1533-position model. The record is from RNAcentral.